CCUACGGGUGGCUGCAGUGGGGAAUAUUGGACAAUGGGCGAAAGCCUGAUCCAGCCAUGCCGCGUGUGUGAAGAAGGCCUUCGGGUUGUAAAGCACUUUCAGUGGGGAAGAAAGCCUUGGGGCUAAUACCCUCGAGGAAGGACAUCACCCACAGAAGAAGCACCGGCUAACUCCGUGCCAGCAGCCGCGGUAAUACGGAGGGUGCGAGCGUUAAUCGGAAUUACUGGGCGUAAAGCGCGCGUAGGCGGUCUGAUAAGCCGGUUGUGAAAGCCCCGGGCUCAACCUGGGAACGGCAUCCGGAACUGUGCGGAUAGAGUGCAGGAGAGGAGGGUAGAAUUCCAGGUGUAGCGGUGAAAUGCGGAGAGAUCGGGAGGAAUACCAGUGGCGAAGGCGGCCCUCUGGACUGACACUGACGCUGAGGUGCGAAAGCGUGGAUAGCAAACAGGAUUAGAUACCCCAGUAGUG
RNAcentral lists this ribosomal RNA (465 nucleotides) under Vreelandella stevensii. Its description in RNAcentral is "partial 16S ribosomal RNA". It matches the Rfam family "Bacterial small subunit ribosomal RNA", at positions 338 to 795 of the family's 1533-position model. The record is from RNAcentral. Lineage: Bacteria; Pseudomonadati; Pseudomonadota; Gammaproteobacteria; Oceanospirillales; Halomonadaceae.